Molecule: small nuclear RNA, 329 nt
Filed under: Panthera pardus (leopard)
Lineage: Eukaryota; Metazoa; Chordata; Mammalia; Carnivora; Felidae
Description: 7SK RNA (ENSPPRG00000015006.1)
Rfam family: 7SK RNA
About the family: 7SK was discovered as an abundant small nuclear RNA in the mid-70s but a possible function has only recently been suggested. Two independent studies have found that 7SK RNA binds the CDK9/cyclin T complex (known as elongation factor P-TEFb).
Source: RNAcentral
GGAUGUGAGGGCGAUCUGGCUGCGACAUCUGUCACCCCAUUGAUCGCCAGGGUUGAUUCGGCUGAUCUGGUUGGCUAGGCGGGUGUCCUCUUCCUCCCUCACCGCUCCAUGUGCGUCCCUCCCGAAGCUGCGCGCUCGGUCGAAGAGGACGACCUUCCCUGAUAGAGGAGGACCGUUCUUCGGUCAAGGGUAUACGAGUAGCUGCGCUCCCCUGCUAGAACCUCCAAACAAGCUCUCAAGGUCCAUUUGUAGGAGAACGUAGGGUAGUCAAGCUUCCAAGACUCCAGACACAUCCAAAUGAGGCGCUGCACGUGGCAGUCUGCCUUUCU